RNAcentral lists this ribosomal RNA (503 nucleotides) under uncultured bacterium. RNAcentral's name for it is "bacterial SSU rRNA". It matches the Rfam family "Bacterial small subunit ribosomal RNA", at positions 1 to 507 of the family's 1533-position model. The record is from RNAcentral.
ACGAGUUUGAUCAUGGCUCAGAUUGAACGCUGGCGGCAUGCCUUACACAUGCAAGUCGAACGGUAACAGGUCUUCGGAUGCUGACGAGUGGCGAACGGGUGAGUAAUACAUCGGAACGUGCCCGAUCGUGGGGGAUAACGCAGCGAAAGCUGUGCUAAUACCGCAUACGAUCUACGGAUGAAAGCGGGGGAUCGCAAGACCUCGCGCGGACGGAGCGGCCGAUGGCAGAUUAGGUAGUUGGUGGGAUAAAAGCUUACCAAGCCGACGAUCUGUAGCUGGUCUGAGAGGACGACCAGCCACACUGGGACUGAGACACGGCCCAGACUCCUACGGGAGGCAGCAGUGGGGAAUUUUGGACAAUGGGGGAAACCCUGAUCCAGCCAUGCCGCGUGCGGGAUGAAGGCCUUCGGGUUGUAAACUGCUUUUGUACGGAACGAAAAGGUCCUUUCUAAUAAAGAGGGCUCAUGACGGUACCGUAAGAAUAAGCACCGGCUAACUACGUG